Non-coding RNA from Tetranychus urticae (two-spotted spider mite), 1804 nucleotides. The record is from RefSeq and is a predicted model, not a curated record. NCBI's taxonomy places the organism in Eukaryota, Metazoa, Arthropoda, Arachnida, Trombidiformes, Tetranychidae.
AAACUGGAUUUGUUGAACAUUUUGAAAUAAUGAGGAAUUUUAAAAAAGGCUUAAAUUGAAAUAAUAUAGCUAAAAAGGUUUAAAAAGCUCGACUCGAGCAAAGGUAAUAAUCCAAAAUAUGAGGGGCUUGGAGGUGUUUAACACAAUCGUAAAGCCAUAAAGUGUGUUUAAAGAUAAAUUGUUAUACACAAUUUAAAAUCUUUUUGGACGAAUCAAGCAGCAAGAAGAAGAAGCAAAUGAUAAGGUUCAUUGAGGGAUGCAAGAUUAUCACCAUCAUCACCAUCGACAUAUCAUCAUGGAACAACAUCAACACCAAUCUGAUCAUCUUUUACAACAUCAGUAAACAGUCAACGUGAGAAAGAUGAUAAACACGUGCUAAACAAGUUAAUCACGAUUGAGAUGAUUUUUGGUGUUUUCGCUUCUUCUGUCAACUAUUGAUAAUUAUAAAAGAUGACAUCUUAUAAGGCCACAUAGUCAAAAAGAUCAUUAUAUGAACAUGACGAUCAACAUUUCUUUUCAUCAUAAUCAACAAUUGAAUGGUUAAUUGAGUUAUUUCUUGCACUAAUAAAAUGCUUAUUCAAGCUUGCUUGUUAGAUUUUUAUAUAAUUUUAUUGUUAAACCCAUUAGGCACUUUUAUUUCCCAGUAAAAUCAAGAUUUAACGAAGGAAACAGAAUGGAAACCUAAAUUCAUCUCAAUUGUACCAUCAACAAUUAGGAUUGAUAUCAUUGCAUUUUUCAACAUUGAAUGCACCAUCAGCCCGAUUAAAGUUAAAAAUUAUGAUCAAAACAUGAGAAUUGGAUUGGGAUCAAUAGAUUUUUGAUAAGCAAAGAAACCUUUUUUUGUUGGAUCAUCUUGUUUGUCAUGUUAAUCGUCGCAAUAAGUCUGAUAACCCCGUCGAGGUCACAAUAUAUCAAUCACUUUGUGUUGCCAAAAACUGGAUUAUAUCAAAUCCGUCUCAAUGGACAUAAUUUAUAAAUGUUAAACAAUCAAAUCUUAAAGCGUCGAUCAACUGGACAAGCUCAAGUUGCUGGAAAUGAAAAAUGCAAACAUCCACAAUUUUCAAAUGAUAUAAUAUAAAGGAUUAUUUUAGGAAACCAAAGGUUAAUUAAUUUCGGAUGGCAUUAAUAUACAAACGAAAGCCUCAUUUCGGAUCUCAAGUGUAACCAACAAUCUGUACAAUUUGAUGGUCAGAGCAAAAAGUAAUAAUAAUUUGUUUUUAAUCACAAUUCCAGAAAGUAUAAUGUAUUUAUAAAUUUAGUGUACAUGUAAAACAUGGUAAAAUGUUUACUAAUAAUCAGAGUUGAGUGAUUUUGUGCCUUCUCAUAUCUUCAACAACAAUUAAAGGUUCGUUAACCAGUUUUUUUGCCAAAAAAAGGAAAGCAAAGAUUGAGUCAAUAAUAAUUUUCCCAUCACUUUAACAUAACUAAUUCAGCUGACCAUCGCAAUAUGAUUAUACAAAUGAAAGUAAUCCAGUUUAAUUAAUGUUUUUGACUAACAACCAGAAACACAAAUUCAGAUGAGAUUGACCAACCAUUUAAAAUGAAUGUAACUUCAUCAUUUUGUUUACAACCUGAAUUUUUAGUCAUUGAAUAUGAUCUUAACCAUUAAACAUCUUCAUAAUAUUGUCAAUAAUAACCUGCCAAAUGAGUUUUGGGACUAAAUAUAAAAUAAAUUAAUUACCAAAUAACCAAAUCGAAAUGCAAAUAUAAGGUAAAUUUUUAGGCCUUGAAGAUUGAUCUAAAAGCUGAUCUUAAGUAUCAGUCUCUAAACAUGCAAAUGAUUACAAUUCAAGAUAAUUUCAAU